RNAcentral lists this ribosomal RNA (381 nucleotides) under uncultured eukaryote. Its description in RNAcentral is "SSU rRNA". It matches the Rfam family "Eukaryotic small subunit ribosomal RNA", at positions 587 to 972 of the family's 1831-position model. The record is from RNAcentral.
AGCUCCAAUAGCGUAUAUUAAAGUUGUUGCAGUUAAAAAGCUCGUAGUUGGAUUUCCGGCGUGAGGGAUCGGUCUGACUUUUAGUGAGUACUUGAUCCUCUCAUGCCGUCCUUGAAUGGUGCAUCCUGGCAUUAAGUUGUCGGGGUGAUAGCCGUUCAUCGUUUACUGUGAGAAAAUUAGAGUGUUCAAAGCAGGCUUAUGCCGUUGAAUAUAUUAGCAUGGAAUAAUAAGAUAGGACCUAGGUACUAUUUUGUUGGUUUGAGAACCAAGGUAAUGAUCAAUAGGGACAGUUGGGGGUAUUCGUAUUCAGUUGUCAGAGGUGAAAUUCUUAGAUUUCCGGAAGACGAACUACUGCGAAAGCAUUUACCAAGGAUGUUUUCA